AAAGGUCGGUGAAUUUGUUUAUUGUUUUCCUUACACACGUGUAACUGUCAUUGGCUUCUUCACGUCGCCUCUUUCCACGUUACCUUUCAUCUUUACCAAAUCGAUUAAACGUCUCCAUUCUUCUUGAACCCUAAAUCGAUAAUCAGAAAUCGAUCGCAUGACAACAACUGCGCUCAAACCUGGCACCCAUCUCCUCCUUCGCAAGCCCUAAGUUCUCCUUCUAUUUGACCACCAGAUCUCCUCAGCGUGUCAUCCUUAAACUCGGGUUUGCCGAGCCUCGAUUUUGCCUUCAUACAAUGGGCAGAAGUUGGAUUGUUGAUGGUAGAGCUAUUGCAUGAAAGGUUGAAACCUGUUGUCUGCCUUUGGUAAAUAAAGUCAAAGACUGGAGCAAUUCAGGAUUGACCAUGAUGCCAUUUCAGGAUUGAUAGUAGUGAUGUAUCAGUAGAGUAGUGGUCUGGGCUUCCCAUUGGUGUGAAAUUUGAACCCACUGAUCUGAUCUUGAGCUCUUAGAACAUUCGGCAGCCAAAUGUGGUGUGGGGAAUCAAAAACCACACCAAUUAAUUGAUGAGUUCAUCCCUACACUUGAUGUAGAUGAAGGAAUAUGUUCCAAACAUCCUCCUGAAAAUCUUCCUGGGUAGUCACGUUGAGAAAAUAUUAUAUGGACUCAGCUAUAUAGGAGCAACUAACUAAUGCAUCAUUGUUGGGAGUGAGAUGGACAAACUUGCAAUUGAAGAACCAGGUUUAAAGAACCGUGGUGUUCCUCAAAAAGUUUCUUACAAGGAUUUACCAUCUCAAAAACAGGUUUUAGUUUAAGUUCAAAUUAGAUCAUUUUAUAUUAAUAUGUUAGAUAGUAACAUAAAGUUUUGGUAAAUAUUAGGAUUAUGGAUUUGAGAGUUAUACAGUUUAAUAAAUACAUAUCGGGUAUUAAUGUGUUUACUUAAUAUCUUGAUUUGCCACUGUGUGUUGUCAACUUGUCAUUUGUUUUAGACUCCCACAUUGCCCGAGAGAAUUUCACUAGCAAGAUUGGUAUGCGCUGGUAUUGUAUGUCGUACAACUCCUGUAAACAUAAAACAUGAAGUACUGUAUGUUUUUAAGACUAUAAUGUCCGCAAUUAUAAACAACUAAGACGUCGCAACAACUAAGACGUCGCCGCCGCAACGCGCGGCCUAUGACAACAACCUAGUUCUAAAAUGGAAUAUAAUUUGUACUACUACAUUCAUGUUUUUUAUUUAGUCUUUUUUUUAAUUAAUGUCAUGCUAUUUUAUAUUUUUUUAUUUUAACGAAAUAGUAACUAAAUGAAUGUGU
This 1305-nucleotide long non-coding RNA is filed under the name Helianthus annuus (common sunflower). Lineage: Eukaryota; Viridiplantae; Streptophyta; Magnoliopsida; Asterales; Asteraceae. The record is from RNAcentral.